This 295-nucleotide ribosomal RNA is filed under the name uncultured bacterium. RNAcentral's name for it is "partial 16S ribosomal RNA". It matches the Rfam family "Bacterial small subunit ribosomal RNA", at positions 334 to 646 of the family's 1533-position model. The record is from RNAcentral.
UUGUCCUACGGGAGGCAGCAGUGGGGGAUAUUGCACAAUGGGGGAAACCCUGAUGCAGCGACGCCGCGUGAGUGAAGAAGUAUUUCGGUAUGUAAAGCUCUAUCAGCAGGGAAGAAAAUGACAGUACCUGACCAAGAAGCCCCGGCUAACUACGUGCCAGCAGCCGCGGUAAUACGUAUGGGGCAAGCGUUAUCCGGAUUUACUGGGUGUAAAGGGAGCGCAGGCGGCUUGGCAAGUCUGAUGUGAAAGGCUGGGGCUCAACCCCAGGACUGCAUUGGAAACUGUUAGGCUGGAG